Molecule: long non-coding RNA, 14873 nt
Organism: Gasterosteus aculeatus aculeatus (three-spined stickleback)
Lineage: Eukaryota; Metazoa; Chordata; Actinopteri; Perciformes; Gasterosteidae
Source: Ensembl
GUUAUUGUGUCCUUGCAGACGAGUCUGUUAAGUUGAAGUCCUUGGUUUACAAAAUCCUAACCUGACAGAAAAUAGAAGAAACGCAAAUUUCACCCUGGUCUGUUAUUUUAUAAUUAAGGAGAAAGACAGAAACAUGGUGCAACCUUCCAUUUGGAUUCAGAUGAUUUAUAUUAUAUUUUGCCCAAAAUAACAGAUUUUUAUUACUAUUAAUACGUGCCUAUUUCUUUAAAGUUGAGAUUUCACUCAAUAUUAAGCAAUGAGAUCCUUUUUUUCUCAGUAUGUAGACAAGGUCACUGUUUAAAAGAACAAUGGCACAAAUGUUCUGGUUCCACUUAUGUGCAAUAUCAAGUUUACUGGAUUUGGCUUUCUCCUUUCGCGUGUUUCACAAGGAUCCGCAAACUCGGUCCCCCGGCGGCGCUCCAGCAGCCGUGGGCUGACUCAAUCCCAGAAUGAUGAGUACCAUGUGGAACUUUGAAAAGCAUCGCCACCUAAUCACCUUUGUGUUGCACAACAGCCGCAUGCAGCUGGUUAGAGAACGGAGUGAUGGAAAGAAACAGAAACCCAGACACUAACAUUUGGGUGCACAUUAAUGCACUGCACAUGCAGAUUGGGUCUUUUGCACAUUUUCUCUCCAGGCUUUGCCUUUGUCUCUCUUUCUCUCCGGCGCUGGCUCUACUGGCAGAGCAGCAUGUGAACGAUGCCCCUCACCGCAGCUAAGAGCGGCGGGUAGACGGCUGUCUGUGUGACGGCUGUGGUGUCCUCGGCUGAGACAAAGGGGAACUUGGCAGGCUGCUGCGCUGCGGUCGGAUCAAACGGGCCUUGUUUAUUGGACCUCUCCCUCUUUGCUCUGCGCUCAUCGGAGGCCGUGUGUGAGACUGCAGCGCUGAAGUGUCUGAGAGAUCUGCUCUCCCCGAGAAGACGGGAACUAUUCAGACCACACACAGGGGCGCUUCAAACCGCCACAAAGGAGGACUCGGAAUGAGGCGGACACGCUCGCUGGGCAUGUGCUCUUCCUACUUAGUAUCUGGGUUGAUGGUACAACUUCACACGCAGCAUUUCUCUCACAUUUUCUUUGCUUUUAGUCCGCCGUUUCUUAUGGUCACAUAUAGCUCCCAUAACCAACCCCUUGUCGUUCUCUCUUUCUGUCGCUACACUCACUCAACAACAAUGUGGUGCUACCGCUCUGUGUUUUCCCAUGGUGCCAGCAACGGAAUGUGCGCCUGUUAAAGGUGAUAUAUAUAUAUAUUUGCUAUCGGGCAAAGAGAGAGGGCCUUCACUACUGCUUGAUUACGGAGAGAAGGGAACAGCCGAGGUUGAACACCACUUCCCAGAGGCAUUUUUCAUCAGCCUUCACUCCAUGUGCAGGAAUGAUGUCUGAGAGUCGUAAAUUUGAGACUCCUACUAAAUGAAAUAACAACAUAACAGUCAAACAGGCAGUCGGUAUUGUGCACAAACACGUGUUGGUGUUUUUAAAAAACACAGAGUGUGAUAAGGGAGAGAUCAGCUUGAUAAGUUUGAGUGAAAGGUGUGGAAGGAAGAUCAGGUGUGGACAGGUUGCUGUCUUAUCCUUACAUCUAUCGCUGGGUUCCCAGAGACCUAUUGGCACUCAAGGCUGACACAUUUACGGUAUGGAAGAUUUGCUUUCAAAGUUGUGACUUCAGGGGAGAAGAGUAGAGAAGGUAAUUGUGCGUUCCCCUAUCCGAGCCCCUUUCCUCUAAAUGUUAUGUGUUGCAUGUUCUUAUUCUCCCACAUCCUCCUAUCGCUGCCCUUGAUUCCCACGGUAAGCACCAGCGCUGAUGGGAAAGAUUCAAAAACACAGGGACACUCAAAAAAUUCCAGGAUUCUUGUGGUGUUGUAUGUUAAAGAAGAACUGGAAGUGGAAGAACUGUAAAUUUGCAUUCUUAUAAUUCUAUAUUCCACUUUUCUAAAGUCUCUCCAUUGUAAACAUGGGAACAUAUUCUCAUGUCCGUACACCUCUAAUCAUGCUGCAUAUCGCAGUGGCCUCAGUUUUGGACAGUGUUGAAUUGUAAAUUAGUAAAUGUGUUUUACUGGAUGAAGAUAAACGUGAAGCAACCCCUCAGGUUCAGCCCCCUCCAAAAUACUAUUACUGUUUUAUAUUUAGAAAUUCAAAGAGGCCAAAAUGAUUCUGCUGUUCAAAAGAUAAGAUGGUUGUAUUUUGCCUGAUAUAUUAUUUUUUUUCCUGGAAUUAGUUACAGGAUUCAGUAUUCAUUUAAUUGGGCACAAGAGUUGUUUGUUUCAAGAGUUGUUUGUUUUCUGAAGGUUCCACUGUUUGUAGAAGUUUUGUGGCAUGUUUGGACCACAACUGUUGAAAAAGUACAUGCCACACUGAAACACAACUUCACCUGUGCUUUAACUGAUAUGAGGGUACCCGCAUGAUGUGAAUACUGCAAUGUCUUAGUCAUUCCACCAUAAUACAGCCCCACACAGCCCCUUAAUGCUGAUCAUUUGAGCCAUUCUCAGGGAGACACUCAAUGGCGCCCAUUGAGAAAUUACAAUAACGAGGAAGUUCUCACACAACAAACGACUUCCACGUAUGCUCAGCCAAGGCCACUGAGCACUCUUAUCUCUCCCUCAUCGAUCCUGAACCUCAGAAAGCAAAUGUUCCCACACAUAGUCCCUCCACCUGGGAGCAUGAACAAAUACACACAGCCUACCACCUGCACGUGGAGCAGUAGAGCUUGGAUGGACACAUUGAGCGCUCAUUCACUAACGUGGAAGAGACUGGAACCUGCUCACAGUGGCCUAGCUGUGCUUUAUGUGGUAGGGAAAGGAAAAUAAAGAGAGUGGAGGGGGGGAUGUGACUGGACGAUGGAGCACGUUUAGGAUGUGGAGUCAUUGAGGUUCAUAAAGCCAAAGCGAUUGUCCGACACAGAGCAUGUGUUUCUGUCAUCAGGAGGAUUGUAUGCCCAGAGUGCCUGACACUUCAGGAGUUUUUGUAGCUUUGAACAUGCCAGCAUUUGAGCCACAGCCCCCAUCAGGGCACAGAGAUGAAACAGGGUUUGGCCUCGUGAAAGCAGGGGUAAAGAUCUCGUGUGAGAAACACGUGUGUGGAGAAGACCAGACAUCCAAACAAGCCACAGUGUGAAACAAAGAAACCCUCACCUGCUCAAAGGUUUCACUCAACUCGCCCAAUGUCAAAACUAUCCUUUCCGAAUACCACAGUAAUUAGAAUGUGAAAGCUUUAGCUGUAUUACAACCAGAAUUGUACUCAGCUUACAUAUUUCACUGCCAUUUAUGCUCACAGAAUGGAAAACAGAUCUGGUAUUAAUAAUCUUACACAGUAAAUCACUAUUUUAUAAUCAGAAUCAGAAUCUAUUUCUGGCCAAAUAUCCACCACCCACUAAACACUCCUUUGUCCAAGACAUGACAUGAUAGAGCAUGUAUUUUGCGAGGGCUGCGUUGAAAAGGAAAUCCAGCUAUUAGUCCCUCUGGCCCCUUCACUGCUGUCACAGGAGAGACUUUCUGCAUUCAAGGAUUUCGUUUUCCACAUUUUGCCAUUCUUUGAUGUCUCGUUUUUGAUCGCAUCUGAUUACUAUUCAAACAGUGCCUGCGCAUUCUUUCAUGUAGCCCUGAUUUUUGAAACCACAGGGGCGGUGGUGCCUAAUUGUGGUGUGUGAGAUGUGGUUUAUUUGAUUGGGUAUUUAUAACAGAUACAGGAAUUCAGUUCAGUGUUUCUAUGCAAUCCUGUUUUUUGUCUUCUAUGUACACUAACUCUCACAGCCUAAUCUAGAUCAUUCCUACACACUGACAUUGGGAUUAAAACAUGGAAACGUUAGGAGUGGAUGCUCAGGUUUCAGAGGAACUUCAAACAGUCUGGGACGGGAGGCUAAAUGAGAUGACCCCAUGUGAAGGAGAGAAAUUCCCCAGUAUACGGGGGCGUAGGCAACCCACAUCCCCUAUUUGUGACCUCCUCGCUCCUGCGCCUCAAGCCCCACUGUGAUUGCAUUGACCCUCUUCCUCCUUAUACCCUUAAGGCUGCUCUUAUUGUAGCAAUGUGGGACUCCAGUGCUUCCUCCUCCCUAUUUGUCCUCGAGGAAGUUGGAGAGAGCAGGGAAUUGGAACAAGCUGUCGAAACAGCCUUUCCAUGGGAGCAGGUCAAAGAGACCCCCAAGAUGGCCUUUCUCAUAUAUGUGGGAAAUCCACAUCGAAAGCCCACUGGUAAACAGGAAGACGUCUGUGUCCCAUCUAUUCACUAAUAUUACUAAACAUAUAUCAGUCCAUAGACGGGGAGGAAAUUCAGUGUGACGGAUCUGACAGCAGCAGACGCAGCGUGUUUAAAAGAACAUAUUAUGGUUUGGGCCAGUAUAGUAAUAUACGUGAUUACAUUAGUCAAUGUUGACUAUCUGCGCUGUUCACUGUAUACUGCGAUUGUUGUUGUUUUAGUAACGUAUCUGACGGCAUGCAUGUGAAUUGGAGGUUGGCAUCCACCAGCUUGAUUCGCAGAACGAUUCCCAGUAAUUAUGCCCCAUAAGGGAGCCAAUAGAGUAAUUAGGGGUUACUACGGAUUGGACCACGGCUAGGAUCCCCCAGGGACUUUGUGCCUCAACAUGUUCACCAGAGUGUGAGAACCUCAGCUCAUGAGCUCACAUAAACACAUGCAGUUACUCCCAAUGCAGCACCACAUCGCAAUCUUACAUGAAUAUCAAAUUAUAUUUCAUUUGUAAAUUAUGUUUAUUCACAAAAGCAGUAGUAGUUACACAUUGCACAUACAUGACCCCCCCACACACACACACCCUUAAGUUCCCACUCCCAAAAUCAGCCAAAGGACAGAACUGAUCGCACCGUCUCAGUUGCCAAAGAUCACAUUACAGUAUUAGUAGCUCAAGUAUACACAAAGUAAUGAAAUAUGGUGCAGGAGGUACAACCAUAAACAAGUAGUGAAUCUUAGAGAUUGGAAAUGACUGCUUUUAUUAAUAUGGUAUGACACAAUUUUGAUUAGGGGACUUUUAUAGAACUUUUGUCUGAAUAUUGUCACCCAGUGAUUUGUCACUUGAAAGCAGGACCGCAACAUAUGUGUAAGAUCUGCUGGUGAAUUGUGACUUUUAUUGCAGCUAUCCUUUCUACUAAAGUGCAUUUUUUUAGAGUUAGAAUAGUGCAUGCAAUGCACUACCUUGAAUUGUAGUAAAAGUAGUUGCUGGUUCCAAACUAAGUCUGGUGUGUUUGUGGUAAAUUAGUUUUCUCAAUCCAUUUUGAUUUUCACAAUGUUAGUUUCGAUAAGAUCAUUUGAUGUAAUUGUGAUAUAAAUGAUUUUAUCCGUAGUGGUGAGUGCAAAUGGGAGGGAGGGAUAUUAAAUGUAUUUAAUAUAUCCUCUGAGCUUCCAAACACCCCACUAGUGUAUAAUUGACCGAUGUUUACCAUUGUUAAGCCAUAGCGAAAUGUCUAGUCUAGAUGGGGAGCAAAUUAUUCAUUUAAAAAAAGGAUUAAAUGUUUUAUCUACAUUUUCAAACACAUUUAAAAUAUUUCCUCGGCAUUCCAGAUAAACUUCAGGCUAUGACAUUGUGAGAAGCAUCUGAAGUUUGGGGUCUCGUGACACACAGUGCAAUCGUCGCUCUUUCCUUUGAGCAGAAGGAUAUGACUCAAGCAACAGGUGAUUCCAAGACGUUUUUCUACUCAAAGCAGCAGGUGCCUCCCUCAGUCCAAACCACCCAGCAGGAGCCUCUGCUUUCUAGUGUGAGAACCACAGAGAAGGUCCAAGUACAGACGAGAGCUGCACCUCCUUCUGGCAUUUCCAAAACUCUUUGAGUUUUCUGAUUAAGUUUGGCCACGCCCACAGUGAUGCUGUUAGGUUGCUAGUCAAAUAUUACAAAAAUAAAAAAUAUGCUUGCUUUGUUUCCACAGUGAUCGCACCCGAAUGGUGGCACCAGACACGGUCGUGUUUUGAAGAUAAUAUAUUCAACUUUUAAGUGGAUUGAUGAAUUAGUAGCAAAGGAAAAAAUGGUUAAGUUAAAUAUACACUUUAGUGUGGACUAGGUCGCAGUGGUCGAUGUCGCCUAAAGGGCAUAGGUGCGUUCAUCGUGUAAGGACCAUCACUUAACUGACUUCUGUUUGAACUGCAGGGACCUGCAGUGACUAUCCCCGAUCCUGUAAUCUAGCCUCCAUCCUUCUUGUCACAGGUGUUCUGUUGAGAGUCAGUGCAACAACCUUAUACUCUGAUAGAGGGGGCAUUGGUGCCCCCCCCACCCUCCAGCUUUGAUGGUUGAGCGUUUGCAGGGCCUGACAGCUGCUCUUAAAUUAGAGACGAGGAGAGAACAGCACCCAGGAAUGUCUGGAUUGUCUGGAUUGCCUUUCUCUUCCGCAGAGUCCUGGGAAGAUGGCUGCAGUUAAGUCGACGUGUUGAAGGCAGUGGAUAUUAGAUAAUUAAUAAAACUGAACAGCAGGGAUGGAGGAAUUGAACAUGUCAGUUAUUGGUGACGGUCGAGUGUUGUGGGCCCAAUAUUCAGGCCGUCCUGAGGUGCCACCGCCUCUCUUGCAUUACCGCACCUCCUUCAUUAGUUGCUCGGGAGACAGUGACCAGGUCAUUGAGGUCAGUGUGUCCACAGGCAUGGUUGUAAAAUUUCCCAGGCAAUAAAGUCUGCAUCAGUAAUGGUGUAGUGACCAUUCAGGAGGAGGACACGGGCAAAACACAGGUCAAGACGGGCGGUGAGGGAGGAGCAUCGCAGAGUUUCCAGAUAGCUGAAUCUUCAGUCAGUCAUGAAGGACUCACAUGAAGUGGAUGAACCCAGCAGGGCCAUGGGAGAGGAAAACAAGAGAUUUACAGGGUGGGGGGGACGAGAGGAUGGGCAGGAUAGAACAGGCAAGGGAAGAGAGAUUACAGGGAUGGGCUGAGUUUAGAGGCACAGGCUUCCAGAUAGUGAGGACGCUGGAUCUAACCGUCAUGCUGAUUUUCUCCUCCUGCUUCCAUGUUCCAAUGUGUGUGUGUUGUUUUUUUCUCAAUAUGUUUAAUAAAAUUGGAAUUACUGCAAGCCCUCCUCUUUCCUCUGCUCCAGGGUUUUGUGAUGUGGAAUGUCUGCUGCUAUCAGCCACCCUUUCUACACACACCGCAACCAAGCCUAUUUGAAAGAGCUGCUAACAGCAUCAGCAUGCACUUGACCUAUGUUCCUCAUUUGCAAAGAUCAAAAUGAUAACCGGGACAUAAUAGUAGGUAAACAAAAAUUAAAAUUCCAAUGACCCAUGUUAAUUUCUGUAUAUAAUACAGAUUGCAAUUAAAAUCGAGGGCUUGUAUGAGCCUGCCAUAACAGAUAAUCUGCCUGAGUAUAUGUGUUUGGAAUCAACUUUAAUCAAAGUGAUAAACAAACCUUUAAGAGUUUCCUUUUUAAAGCAGGACAGUCAGCCCACAGGCACAGAGCACUUAAACCAUGUCGACCACUAGCACUUCACUCUAGUCCCACCCUGUCUUAUUCCAUUACUGCCUUCCUUAUCACUCAAGUGUGCCUUCAGGCCGUGGCCAGAGGAAGGAAUGUGGCGUGUACCUUUUAAUCUGUGUCCAGUGAACCUGGCGUUUCCCAAAUCCGCCCACUUUCCUGGACUCGAGCCGUAAACUGACCGGAGCGCAUCGGCCACUUUUUAAUGAAGAACAACAGCUGCUGUGGUGUGUCCGUGUACGGUAACCUCUUUGACCGGAUCGGCCUCUUCUGCUGCGUUCCACAAUCCAAAUGUGAUGAAGAGGAGGAUAACCGCACAUGUAAUCGCACACUGCUUCAGUGGGCUUGGACAAAAGAGCCGGGGGCUUCCAUGACGGACUUUGCAAUCAGAGACUGCUUGGCCGACAAAGCCAGAAGGCCUGUUGUUUCUGGCAAGGAUUCACAUUGGACGGCGUGGGCAAUAUGAAUGCCAGACACUGAAAGAGCUGCUGUCCAUCUACAGAGAAAUAAUGACAAGUACACGCAUGCAACAAAUACAUUCACCUUGUGUUAUUUUACAACAAGACGUGACGAGAACAAAACUGCAGUAUAUGACAUCUCUGAUUUAAACUACAUGGAGAUCUGUGUUUGUUUGAGUCAAAACCACUCGCAUGAUGUGCAUGUGUACGUGUAGCUGGGUUUGAGGGGUGGACAGGUACAAACUAAUUAUCCCGUUCUCUCUUUGUUUUGUCAGUAAUUAUACCUAAGCGGUACUGUCAUCGUUGCUCACUGGCUGUUGUUUUGAUUGCGCACCAGUCAGGUUUAGUGUUUUCUUCCUUUUCUUUUCCCGAGGAAGAUCCUGGCUCAGGAGGGCUCUGCUGGGACACGUAAAGGCACAGGCGAGGCUGUGGGUGCCGCCUGUCUCACCUUGGUGUGUAAGUGUGGGAACCACUCAGCCGGCAGUAGUGCAUGAGUAACGAGGACCCUGAGGGAGUGUGGCGUAAUCUCCGCUUAAUGCUCUAGUCUCUUUCUCUCACUCGGAGGAACACACACAUUCACUCAGAAGACUGAUUGCAUUGAUGCAUUUAUCUCGAUCAGCUUUCAAUGGAAACAGCAAUCUUCAAAAGAAAGCUCGCCCUGAAAUCACUUGGAUACAGACGUAUUUGUAUUGUAAAUAUAAUCACAGACUGGAAAAUAGCACCUUUGGUUCCAUUGUUGGACCACAUUUACUGAACUUUGCUGAAAGAGCGUCCAUGACAAAUCCCAUUACAAAACAAAACCAGUUAAACGAGUAUGUCUCACAAAUUUUGAGCCAAGUUUUGUUUGAGGGAAUUAAUAACUCGACAAUGGAUACGACCACUUGAUAAUUAUUGACACAAGUAUUAUUAUAAUUAUUACCACAACUGAAAUGCAAGUUUUACCAUUUUUAAAAAGUAACUCACAAUAUACGUUUUGGCUGUAACACUGUCUCUUGUACAAUCUCAGCUUGGAAAGGCUCCAGCCCCAUAGAACCCCGCAGAGAAUAUAUUCUGGCACAGACAAUAGAUGGUUUAUUAAAAUACCAUGAACAAUAUAAUUCCUGUCAGAUUUUACUAUCGUCUUCAGCUUUCGGAAGAUUGUUGAAAUAUGGCAUCAAAACAACUGAAACCCACACAGCCAUUGAUAACCAAAUAACAUAUUGCUAGUUAAGUGUCCAAGCAGAAAGGGAUGUUCCCCUAAACGAAUGCAAUUUGCAAAACCAUGAGGUUAUACAGGAAUUUUUACACAUAUUCACCAGUGUAUGCUGUGCUUGAUGGAAAAUAAUUGAUUUGCCGGUGUAACGUGACCAUCUAUGUGGAGGAAUGUGAAGUAAUGACAAUAAAUUGCUUUUCUAAUACAGAUUUUAUAGAGCUGUGGUGGUGGGGCGGUUGGGGGCAGUGGGCUGGCAGCUGUUGCUGGUGUGCGGGGGCCCUCAGGUCUCGGCCUACCCCUAAUGGCCAGACCAGCUGUCGGAGUUCUGUCUGCAGGGGCGCGGGGCUUCAGGAGGCGGGGAGGGCAUGAGAACUUCCACCCCCCUGGCCUGGGGGGCGGGUCCCCGCCUUGUCUGCCCUCCUCUGAAAGGGGGUGAUUGAUGGCGCAGGGUUGACACCAUGCUUCCACAACAAUUGGCUCAGGAGGGACAGAGGAUGAACAGAGAGCUUGGGACCCCUCCACGUCUUUCUCCUCUGGUUUUCAGAGGCAAAUGUGGGAUCAGUCGCAAUUAUAAUUCAGUCAUUUUUCUCAAUAUGUCUUUUAUUUGACAUUUUAGUGCAGCAUAUGCCACUCUGAAUACCUUUCAAGACUGCCACUGCAAUGAUUCUGCAGACAGACUCAGGAUAUGCUCUCAUUGUCAGAUUACAUGGGUUUGAACAAGUUUUUUGUCAAAUGGCUUAAAUGCCCCUCUGCCUAUCGUUAAGAUAAUCCCUCUUGUUCCAGCAGGCCUUCGGUGCCCCCUUCCUCACACCAGUUCAAUCAAUCCAGAGAGGAAGAGUGGAGAUUUGCGGGGCUUCCAGGGUGGAUAGCGCCGCGGUCUCAAGCGUGUGCGUCAGGUCAUCGGUCGGUAUCAGCCCAAAGUCUCAACACCGGGGCCUGCUCACACAGACCUGACCUUUUUGCACCAAACCCCAGGAUCCUCCCUGGAUCCCUUUCAGCAAGUUGCCAGCACCUCCGUUCUCCUUCAAGAUUUACAGCCCCGCAGAGGGAUAGAGGAGGUGGAAGGAGGAGGGGGGGGAGGGGCGUGGGGGGACACUGUCCGGCAGCUGUUCGUAGUGGUCUUAAGUAGCUAUUUCACACGGAAACCGAGUCAUAGCUUUCUGGAUUCCUCCAGCUGGCCAGGCUCCAGUCUGAAAUGCAUUCCGGCACAGAAAUGCCUUUGCACUCUCUGCCCUCCAUUCUCACUGCCCUGUGGAUGCAAAUGCCUCCAGACCCUCCACUGAGUCGCAGUCCACUGUACCCCCCCCCCCUUGUACCGAAAAAUGAAAGAGAGCAGUUCUCCAAUCCUGAUCAGUGAGUGGGGGUCUUGAUCUUGGAGAGAAGGAUAUUAAAUUCCAUACCAUCACUGUGUCGGGUCCUAUACUGUCUUCUGAUUGGUACAAUUUAGGAAAAAACGCGGGACGGUAAGUCGGGAGAAGAUUCCCAUAGGUAAAGCUAUCUGACCCGGUCCCUUGCACAGACAAGUCCUGUGUACACUUACGGAAUUUAAUGGCCAUUUAGAGAGUUUGUGUGAAAGUCAAACACUUUUUCCCACAAUCCCAAAAAAGAUCCAUCAUUCACAUGUGUUUACUUUAGGCAAAAAAGCCCCAGCCUCUCAUUCACUGUGUGUGUGUAGGUGUGCGUCCGUGUGUGUGCGUGUGUGUGUGCUUGUCACAGAGAGGUUGGGUGGAAGAAAAGGAAGAGAAUAAUCAUGGUGAAAGAGGACACUGAAAGUAUGUACCCAGUUUUUUUGUGAGAUAUUAAUUGGUCUGGGACACCGGGCAGGCAAAAUGUGUUUUGAAUGGUUUGACUUUACGACACAAUGAAAAUUAGAACAAAACCAGAGGAUAAGAAUGUAGCUACAUGAACACAAACUCUUUACAUUGAAUUAAAAGGCAUGAAUUCAAGUACUCCCUGUCCACAUUCCUUUAGUAUUGAAAAUGUAGAAGAUUAAAAUCUACAUAAACACAAAUACCACAGGAAUGUCUUUACUGUUUCUUUGAUGUGUUUUUUCUUCAAACAGUAAUACGAGUGUGGAAAGAGGGCUGGACAACCAAAAGUGUGGAAUCCUGGGAAAAGCAGAGGUGUUCCUUUAGAUCACAACAUCCCACAACAGAGCAGAAACAAAGAUAAGUUAUCUUAUCACUGUGGGACACUGCGUGCAUGUGUCCAUUGGUGCUGGUUGUGCUAUUGUCACACAUUGAGACAACAUCAGAAGUGUGCCUACGGUCUCUUUAAACCACAGAAGCCCACUACACUUGAAGCUGAAGAGCUUACCCACAACGGCUGAAUGAUAUAGAGAUCAUACAAUUAUGAAGCAGCCAUAAAGGAGACAAUACAGAUCAUCGACCUGAAUGCUGCGCUGCAAUUGGCCCUGACGUCUGUCCAUAGGGGGUCUCCGCUGCUGAUUGGCCAUGACCGGUUUUGUAGAGGGGCUUCUAAUCCUCUCCACACUCUCUGUGGGUGCUCUCGGGGGCUUUUCCCACAUAAAUCAGUCUGGCCUGGGUGGUAAAGUCAUCACGUCCACUGUGUCCACAAACACUGCCUGUUAGCACCCCUAUCACAAGGAGCGUGCUAGCUCUGAAAGGCCACCGCCAUUGAAAGAAAGCCAAUGGCUGACCACGCCACACUAUGCGUAUAGGCUCUUAUUGGGAAGCCCACUUUAGCACGUUAUCCAACCCAGUCUCACAGAAAAACGUGUAAUAGCUACGUUGUGGAACGUGGUGUUGUCACGCUUUUGGGGAGAAAGCGUGACAUACAACGUUUCGUUUGUAACUAGGUCACGUGACUAUCAACUUUCCCUCAGCUCAAAAAAAAGAAAAUGGCGGACUGUCGGUCUACUAUCUGUGAAAAACACAAUAUUUUAAGAAAGCAUCAGCAUUUGUGUGCAUUUCGAUGGCAUUUCUAGCGAGAAGUAUGCGUUAUAUUUUUAUAAUCAGAGAAUGUAGAAGACCUUCCGUUUAUUAGUUUGUAGUGAGGUAGUUGCAAGGCUAUUGUAAAUGAACGGGCCAAAAUAAAACAUAGUAUUGUCACGAUUUGGGGGAGAAAGCGUGAGAAUACCACGUUGGUCCAACGUAGCUAUUACACGUUUUGCUGUGAGACUGGGUUGCGUUAUCAUAAAAAAAAAAACAUUGCCCCUGUUGUAAAGCUACCAUGAGCCUUUCAUGUCAACAUUAUCACAUGAGAGGCCUUCAAGCAGCACGCCACUUUGAGGAAAAUGUCACAUGAGCCUUACAAGCUUUUCCUAUGUAAUCUUAAUUAAUGCCCCAUUCAUAUUCUUGACUACUCACAAUAGCACGGGCACAGUUUAAAACCUCUGUUUCAUUAUUUAAUUCAUUUAAAAUUACUUGGUUACGUUAUAUCAACAAAACUACUUGAUAAGUUUAGGAAAUGAUCACGUUAUUAUGGUUACCUCUCAAGCCCUGUGUAGUUUUAAAGUGUGAAGAUUGACCAAGUGUCUAUGACGUGAGGCACUGGUAACACCCAUUUUUUGGUUCGGGUUAUACGACCUGACCAAUGGCCUUCCCUGGACCUAACCACUCAAGGUCAACGCCCGACCUCAAACAGCCACGCAGCUACAAGACUGCUCACGAGUAUGCAGACUUCUAUAUUUUAUUACAGAGGUAGUAUUUUAUGUGCGUCACACUGACCCCUGCAGUGUAUGGACAGACGUCCCUGCUGUGUGAGUGAAAAGCAGGGCCGGGUCAAGAAGGACACUGAUAGGAAGAGUCGUCUGUACCAUUUUGCCUCUCACCCAUGGGUGGUCUUCCCUUAAACGGCUUUGGUCGGCUUUCCCUCUUGACACUGCAAACGUAUAGUAUCAUUCACAUGCAGUUCUAGAUAAAAGCCCUUUUGUUGGGUAUGUGCUUCACAAUGGUGCUUGUUAUCCCAAGGUAUCGCAUGCUCAAUGGAAGGAAUUACAGAGUACUUUGUACAGCUGGGUAUACAAAAGCAGAAAGAUGGUGCUAAAAAGGAAAGUUCUAAAAUAAAUGUUUACACUAAGAUGUCCUGAUUACCACGUUCUUACGAUCACUUUGGUGUAAUUUUAACUACAGACACAUCGUACAACCACACACACACAUGUGGCAGCACACUGCAGAUAUUUUGCAAAAUAAAACACUUCAUUCAAAACUUUUCAAAAAUUGAUGGAAACCCAUUUUUGUCACUUUAUUGCACGCACAGGGUUUAUUUGGUCAAACUCUCUUUAAACCAGUUCCACAUUCCUGUGCUCAGUCUAAAACACGUUAACCAUUUAUAACUCACUAAUUAUACAGUCUAGGUUUUAUUCUACGACAAUAUUGUGAGUGUGUAGUACACACAAACCAGGCAAGCACCCAGAAGUCCAAAAGUCCAUUUUUCACUGAAAUUCGCAACAAUGUCUCUUGUCAAAACAAUAUAGUACAUAAGAAGUAAAAAUAUUAAUGGAGACAAAAAGAAAGAACGAUUAUGGUUCAAAUAAAUUGCUAACACUGCUUGGUUGGCUCCCACCUGUGGUCUUUUUACAGUGUUUACAUCCUGAUUCAGUAGGGUUCUGCUUUAUGUUUCCUUUUAGUGGGUUGGCUAUAAGCUAUAAGCAAUGCUCACAACUGUUCAAAGAGAGACACAGAGUUAUAAAUCCUGAGCUGUCGGAUCCACGUUUGCUUGAGAUUCCCACCUCGGAGUCCUGCGCAAGAACUUUGUCGCCAAGGCUUCCACUCUCACACUUUCCCUCUAGAACAAACAAACAAGGACUAAUUUCCUCUGUUUGUGUGUAUGUGUGCGUGUGACUGGGACGAGGGGGGGUAGGGGGAGAGCGAUAACGAGAAGGGAAGAUGAUUAGGAAUUCCUUAAAAUUUCAAUUUACAGACAACUGCACGAUAAAUGUCGCACAAAGGAACCAGAGGCCGUCCUUCUACUGAUCUUCGCAGGAGACGUAGUCCACUGUUCCUUUAUUUCUGAAACAAUCAAGGAAAGGUCAUGUAUCCAGAGGGAAGGGCUGGAGCAGCCACCUCCACUAAUGAGAUCAGAGAGAAAGAAGAAAAAACAGCAAUUUUCCCAAUGGCUCUUCAUUUUCCAGGGAGUCAAGCGGCACAGAUUGUAAUCCUUUCGAACAAAGCUUUUCAGCUUUUGUGGAGAACACUGGAACUCGAUCUUUCAACAUCGCUCUUUCAAGGUUUUGAUGCAGCAAAUUUAGGGUUUGAGAUUUCAUUACUGAGAGAAUUAAGCGCAGAUGAAAUACCUGGACAUUAAAAUGAUCAUCAAAAUAAUUACAUUUCUUGAUGUAUUUUUUUGGGGUUGCUGUUUCUUCGCAUGCUCUGUGAAAAUUAUUACGCAAUCAUGAUUAAUACAUUCUUUGGCAGUUUUAUUACAACACUGAGACUGGUAACAGACUCAACUUGUGAUCGUUUUGUUGUGAAAACCAUGUACAAGUCAACUGGUUUUUCAUGAAAUGAUGAAGGUCUUCAGGUUUACAAGACGUAACGUAAUUUGCAUUUAGCACACUGAAAAAUCUUCUUUUGGGACCUUUUCCAACUGGAAGCCAAAAUACCGGCAACGCAUGCCAGAAUAAGCCGCCAGUGCACAUCUCCAGAGGGUGAAAGAGUUAUUUCACAACCAGAUGAAAACACAGAAUACAGCUUAUUGCACCAACUUGCAAUAUACAUAAACCAUAGUAAAUCUUUCUCCUUGCCUCUAUAGUUUUCACUUUCGUCAGGAGGCGCAGUCGGAAAAGCAGGCAUAAUCUUGAAUACGAGCAUGCAUUCAGAUUGCAUAGUUGACUGAGUUGCAAUAUAAUCCCAAGUCUGAAGAACACAGGACAAAAAC